This 505-nucleotide ribosomal RNA is filed under the name uncultured bacterium. Its description in RNAcentral is "partial 16S ribosomal RNA". It matches the Rfam family "Bacterial small subunit ribosomal RNA", at positions 28 to 507 of the family's 1533-position model. The record is from RNAcentral.
GACGAACGCUGGCGGCGUGCCUAAUACAUGCAAGUAGAACGCACAGUUUAUACCGUAGCUUGCUACACCAUAAACUGUGAGUUGCGAACGGGUGAGUAACGCGUCGGUAACCUGCCUGGUAGCGGGGGAUAACUAUUGGAAACGAUAGCUAAUACCGCAUAAUAUUGAUUAUUGCAUGAUAAUUGAUUGAAAGAUGCUAUUGCAUCACUACCAGAUGGACCUUGGUUGUAUUAGCUAGUAGGCGAGGUAACGGCGCACCUAGGCGAGGAUACUUAGCCGACAUGAUAAGGUCAUCAGACACACUGGUACUGAGACACGGCCCAGACUCCUACGGGAUGCAGCAGUAGUGAAUCGUCGGCAAUGGACGAGAGUCUGACCGAGCAACGCUGCGUGAGUGAAGAAGAUUUUCGGAUCGUAAAGCUCUGUUGUGAGAGGAGAACGGGUGUGAGAGUGGAAAGUUCACACAGUGACGGGAUCUUAGCAGUAAGGGACGGCUAACUACGUG